UACUAUCGCUUGAAUUUAGAA
Caenorhabditis elegans is the source of this 21-nucleotide non-coding RNA. The record is from Ensembl. NCBI's taxonomy places the organism in Eukaryota, Metazoa, Nematoda, Chromadorea, Rhabditida, Rhabditidae.